CCUGUAAGGCAUGUUGAACUGAAUAUGCCCAAUCUCACCUGAUCAUGGAUGCUAAACAGGCUGAGAUGUGACUGUAUUGGAUGGAAGACCUCCUGGGUGUUGAAAGCACAAGACAAACAGUU
RNAcentral lists this ribosomal RNA (122 nucleotides) under Crocodylus porosus (Australian saltwater crocodile). The record is from RNAcentral. Lineage: Eukaryota; Metazoa; Chordata; Crocodylia; Crocodylidae.